GGAAACGUGCCCGAGAGGCCGAAGGGGCUCCCCUGCUAAGGGAGUAUGCGGUCAAAAGCUGCAUCGAGGGUUCGAAUCCCUCCGUUUCCGCCA
RNAcentral lists this transfer RNA (93 nucleotides) under Solilutibacter silvestris. RNAcentral's name for it is "tRNA-Ser". It matches the Rfam family "tRNA". Rfam says of the family: Transfer RNA (tRNA) molecules are approximately 80 nucleotides in length. Their secondary structure includes four short double-helical elements and three loops (D, anti-codon, and T loops). The record is from RNAcentral. Lineage: Bacteria; Pseudomonadati; Pseudomonadota; Gammaproteobacteria; Lysobacterales; Lysobacteraceae. RNAcentral also lists the same sequence under 1 other name.